Molecule: long non-coding RNA, 673 nt
Filed under: Actinidia chinensis (golden kiwifruit)
Lineage: Eukaryota; Viridiplantae; Streptophyta; Magnoliopsida; Ericales; Actinidiaceae
Description: long non-coding RNA (ACHI_LNC007083)
Source: RNAcentral
UGAAAAAUGGCGUGGGUGCGUAGGGUAAUCCAUUUAGGACUUUUGUCCUAAAAUGAUAAUUCUAUUUUGGGGCAGAAUUGUAAUAAAAAUCUCAUUAUUUUUGGAGGGUGCUACCGUGCUAAUAUGGAAAUUAGGAAAUAGUAAAAAUGUCCAAAGCUGCCCCUAAUUUUUACCCUUUUUUAUGCGUGGGAAGAUUAAGAAUAAAUUGUGAUUCAUUAGUGUUCCGACAAAUAGAAAUGUCCGAAAAGGAGGUAUUAGCAAAUUAAUCUCGGGCGCAUUGGAAUCUAAAAUAUGUCCAUACAAUUUUAUCCCUUGAGUGGAACAACGUCGUUUUUUUCUCCCCAAAGCCAGUCCAACCAAUUAGCAACAAAUCGAGAAUUGCUUUCAUCUGCAUAUUUGACUUGCACCCCUAGCAUAUAAUACCAAGUGCAAAACUACACAUAUAAAACUUACUCCCUUUCGCAUACACGACUUCAACCCUUGGCAAGUAUAGUAGCACCGCGACCAAGUUACAUGAGAGUAUACUAGAAGUCAAGCAUAUGCUGAUGCGAGCAAGAAUUUUGAGCAUAUAGAAGAGUAUUAAUGUCUUAAGGUUACAAAAACUUUUGAGCAUCAGUCGAAAAGAUCUAAUAUGCUGGUCUGCGACACAAUCUUCUCAAACGAACUCGUUCCU